AACUGUAAUGUACAAUAUAAAACCAUCCCCAAUCAAUCCCCAUAUUCAGUCACUAGGUCGGUGUUCUCUGCCACAAUGUUACCGGUCAUGUCCUCCAACUCCGUCUCAGAAGCUUUUUUCCUGUGGGAGACGAGUUUUCAACUGAUGAUGACCAAUGGGAAGCUCAAUACGAAGCUUAUUGGAGGUCCAGAUUUGGUGGUAAAUAGUGGGAAGAGGACUUGUGGGGUUCAAACCCUAGUAUUCAAGCACAACAGGAGGGUUUUUUUGUUGUUUUGAGAUUUUCAUCAAUUUAAUGUGCUCAUGUUUAUUAAUAAUGUCAUCAUGAAAGCUAUAGUUUUGUUUGGGUUGCUCUUGAUACUUUUAAGUGCGAUUUUAUUAUUAACUGAAGUUAUGUAUAUAUAGCAAUAAAUUUGAACAAUCUUUCAGAUUUGGAUUUCAAAAACAGAAAUAGUGAAAAUGAUGUUGAGAUUGCAUUUGCAUUUGGUAGAGUGAUUUUGGAAAGUCUUUUCUUAAAACUUUUCUUGAAUCUAAAUUUCAGACCCCUUUUGUUGAAAUUUUAGGAAGUCUUUUUUUUUUUUUUUUUUUUUGUGACACACUACUUAACCCAAAAGCUAAAGGAAAUGGGUUUGGGAAAUUGAGCUCAAUAAUGUUCUAUUAAUUUGUUCUUUGUUUCUUGUCCAUAUGGGACUUCCACUUGUAUGUGUAUAUGCAACAAUUUUUUUUUGCUUCUUAAAUUUUUUAUGGUGUCUUCUUUCUUCUUCUUUUUGGUAAGACGUUUCUCUAAACAUGUAUGAUCCGGUUGCACAGUUAUCAUUUGACCCUCCCUUUUGUUCUAAUACUUGUGCAGCAUGAUCAAUUCUUUACUCAACACAAAUUGAGUAUGAGAAGCUUUGUACUUUCUGUAUCUUAAAGUGUAAUUGUUAAUUAUAUUUCACCAUAAGAGGCUUUCCUAAGAAGAAUUCCGGCACGAUUUAAUCCAAAAAGACAAAACUGGUCGUUUGUUUUCUAGGACAAGAUGAAAUUGAGCCUUCAACCAACCAGAACUUUGGUCUCUCUUAAAGAAUCUUACAUUUGUCAACACAUUUGCUUCUGGAAGUCUUGUUCCCAAGGCUUACAUAUGGCCUGUAGAUGAAACUAGUUAUUUACAAGCUCAUGAAGAAGAGCUAGAAGUUUUGUUUCAAUUUUGCGUAUGGUGUUCCACUUUGCUUCAGUUACAGUUAUGAUCCAGUAAUUCAGUUUUUGAAUUACAUUGACAAUGGAAGCUUCGCUGUUAAUGGUGUGCGGGCCGACGUCCCACUUAUACUCCAUCAGAUUGCUUUGCUCAUUUCGGCCAAAAUAUUGUUUUUGACCUUUUUCUUUCACCUUCCUCACUCUCCUGCGAAUCCUUUGUUUAUCUCUUAAUAAGGAGCAAGUGGAGAUUACGCUGGCUGUAUGGAUUUAGCAUAUAGGAAAGCUAUUGAUGAUCAUGUAGAUGUACUUGACUGUCUUGUUCAAUUGGCAAAGGAUGGACUCUGUUUAGAUAUACUAUUAUUUUUUUUGUAAGCAUUCCUGCGGCGUAAUAUAAUUAGGUGGAAUACUAUUGAUGAUCAUGUAGAUGUACUUCACUGUCUUGUUCAAUUGGCAAAGGAUGGACUCUGUUUUGAUUUACUAUUAAUUUUUUUGUAAGCAUACUUGCAUAAUAUAAUUAGGUGGAAUGGUAAUUAUAUUGGUCAAAUUUGGUCUAGGGGGCUCUAGUGUGCAGAACCAUCUUCAACUCUUGCACAGGACAUUGCAAAGGCCAAGGAACUCUUGAAGCAGAGAGGAGGUGACAUUGGCUAUCAAAGACUUUGUUAUGACGUUUUUGAGGAGCCAAAGUAAUUUUAUGACAUUUUCAAUAUAUAUCACAUCUUGGGGUACAAAUUGUGGAUUUGAGGAGAUACAAUUUGGUUGCUAUAUAAAAUUUUGAUUGUUGUUUGAAACUAAAAA
Long non-coding RNA from Quercus robur (English oak), 1965 nucleotides. RefSeq lists it as uncharacterized. Lineage: Eukaryota; Viridiplantae; Streptophyta; Magnoliopsida; Fagales; Fagaceae. The record is from RefSeq and is a predicted model, not a curated record. The transcript is spliced from 3 exons.